ACAAUGACGCCUUUGAUUACGAAGGAUUCGCUAUGAAACAGGAAACAGGCCGAGGCAGUCUUAGAUGUGACCUCACACACAGCGACACCGGUAGCAGUGAUGAGGAAACAGAUCGAAGCAGUCCUACAUCUGACGUCACACACAGCGACAGCAGUGGCAGUGUCACAUGCUGCGACACCUGUAGCAGUGAUGAGUAAGAGAAUGGAGGCAUUCAUAGAACUAACCUCGCACUCAGUGACAUCUAUGGCAGUGAUGAGGAGGAAUGUGAAACUGGCGUUUUUCGCGAUUCAUUCUGGGAAAGCGAUGUCAUUGAUACCACUGACAUGAUUAUUAUAUUUGAAGUGAAAAACGAAACUAGUGUUUUCCGGGACCCAAUGAGCAGUGACACCAUUGAUUUCAAUGAUAUGAUAGUAGAGGAGAUCAGUGAAAGCAGACCCCUAGCCGAGCAUCCUUACAGUGACAUCUACGGUGGCAAUGAAAUAGGAGAGGACGCGUCGAGCGACGAAGGGCAAACGGCUGGCAAUAACACGCGAGGACGUCCCAUCAUCGAGACCCAAGGUUCAGCUUCACAACGUGGAUCGUGCCAGCUGUAGGACAAGUCCCGGAGUACGGCCACUGCCAGCAAGACGCGAACUAUCGGAGCGGCGACUUCCCCGCAGACGUGUCAAGCCCACCGCUGCCAUCCACGUCGCAAGACGAUUUCCACGUGUGGACCUGUUUCGUUUCACUUGGGAAUGUUGCUUAUACUCAUUUGUGAGUGUUAGCAUCUGCAAAGCCACAACCAUGCUGUGGCCAAAAAUUCUGCCUUAUGGCUCGGCGCUCUUGGUGGACGUGCCAGCGCAAAUAAACGCCGACUUUGUUACGCUACUGUAUACGUUAAGCCAUCUGGCGACUGAA
Molecule: unclassified non-coding RNA, 897 nt
Filed under: Dermacentor andersoni
Lineage: Eukaryota; Metazoa; Arthropoda; Arachnida; Ixodida; Ixodidae
Description: uncharacterized LOC126527613
Source: RNAcentral